UACGAAGGUGGCAAGCGUUGUUCGGAAUUAUUGGGCGUAAAGCGUACGUAGGCGGGCUUGUAAGUCGAUUGUGAAAGCCCUGGGCUCAACCCGGGAAUUGCAGUCGAAACUGCUAGUCUUGAAUGCUCGAGAGGAUGGUGGAAUUCCAGGAGUAGUAGUGAAAUACGUAGAUAUUGGGAGGAACACCAGUGGCGAAGGCGGCUCACUGGACCGGUUCUGACGCUGAGGCGCGAAAGCGUGGGGAGCAAACGGG
Molecule: ribosomal RNA, 253 nt
Filed under: uncultured bacterium
Lineage: Bacteria
Description: partial 16S ribosomal RNA
Rfam family: Bacterial small subunit ribosomal RNA
Source: RNAcentral